This 465-nucleotide ribosomal RNA is filed under the name Vreelandella stevensii. Its description in RNAcentral is "partial 16S ribosomal RNA". It matches the Rfam family "Bacterial small subunit ribosomal RNA", at positions 338 to 795 of the family's 1533-position model. Lineage: Bacteria; Pseudomonadati; Pseudomonadota; Gammaproteobacteria; Oceanospirillales; Halomonadaceae. The record is from RNAcentral.
CCUACGGGGGGCUGCAGUGGGGAAUAUUGGACAAUGGGCGAAAGCCUGAUCCAGCCAUGCCGCAUGUGUGAAGAAGGCCUUCGGGUUGUAAAGCACUUUCAGUGGGGAAGAAAGCCUUGGGGCUAAUACCCUCGAGGAAGGACAUCACCCACAGAAGAAGCACCGGCUAACUCCGUGCCAGCAGCCGCGGUAAUACGGAGGGUGCGAGCGUUAAUCGGAAUUACUGGGCGUAAAGCGCGCGUAGGCGGUCUGAUAAGCCGGUUGUGAAAGCCCCGGGCUCAACCUGGGAACGGCAUCCGGAACUGUCAGGCUAGAGUGCAGGAGAGGAAGGUAGAAUUCCCGGUGUAGCGGUGAAAUGCGUAGAGAUCGGGAGGAAUACCAGUGGCGAAGGCGGCCUUCUGGACUGACACUGACGCUGAGGUGCGAAAGCGUGGGUAGCAAACAGGAUUAGAUACCCGUGUAGUC